Molecule: long non-coding RNA, 2181 nt
Organism: Scophthalmus maximus (turbot)
Lineage: Eukaryota; Metazoa; Chordata; Actinopteri; Pleuronectiformes; Scophthalmidae
Source: Ensembl
AUGGUGAGUCACACGCGACGGAGCAACGUGCAUGUAAGUUGUUCGGAGAGAGACAGUACAGUAUGUAAAUUUCCAUCCUCGCAGCUGUUUUCGUUUGUCUCCAGCAGCGUCCCUGCUCUGAUGGAAAAUGAAGUCAGAGUAUCAGAGCCCCGGGUCAGCGGCAGAGAUUUGCUCAUUCCUCGGACAUUACUAAACUCUGGCAAGACUACUGGUGCAUUAGGAGGAGGAAGAAGAAGAAGAAGAAGAAGAAAGAACAACAGGGGGGCCUCUUUGUGCCAGAUCAGAUUUCUGAGCUCAGGAGUCUGAGUCAGAAAGGAGCGAGAUUAGUGACUCAGUGUUACUUCCUGUAAUCCAAAACGUCCUGAGAGAACCUCGACCCCACAGCACGCCGAUCCAACGCACCCCCCAGCCCGACUGGUCUGCUGCACACGGUCCGCUGGUUCUUGUCUGGUUGCACACAACGGGUGCGUUCCAGGUCAUCUUGUGAACGCCGCUGCCAGAUGGACAGUAAUUGGGCGGUAUGGCGUUGACGGAGCAGCUGGACGGCUGACUGCCCUGGAGUAACAGAGGUCAUUCUGCAGAGACUCUGUCUCACCAGUUGUUGCUUUUUCUUUGCCAAACUCCGGGGAGAUUCUGCUGGAAAUAGUAGUAUUUUCCCCAUUUUUAUUGUUUUGUUUUUAAUGCUACAUCCCCCCCCGCGCUCUAUCAGAUUGCCAUCUCCUAUCGUGUCAUUAUCAUUUUACCCUAAAUAUAAUCUUAUGUCAUCUGUAGUUUAAUGUGAUGUCGUUUUAGCUCACAUUUUUGAUCUAUGUAAAGGAAUGUAAAGGAAUCUCAUCAAAUCAAAUAUUGGAUCAACCCCUUAUCAUCUAACCUCAUCUCUGAUUUAAUGCAAUCCAAUCUCAUCUUAGAUAUAUAUACGGUAACACAGAUGUGUUGCAUCACACUAAGUGCCUUUGAAUCUUUAAUGUAAAAUAAUCUAUUUAAAUUCAACCUCACUUAACGUAAUUCCAUCUCUAUUAUUCUUAUACUAUUACACUUUACUCUAAUCUAAUCUCAUCUUCUGUCUUGUUUUUAACUGUUGUAAUCAAAUCUCAUAUUAACCCUAAACUAAUAUGCCAUUGCAUCUCUAAUAAACCAUUAUUAAACAUGUGUGCUUUGCACAUUACUCAAUCUAAUCACGUCUCCAUUGUAAUUUGAGCUAUUCUAAUCGAGUGCAAUAGAAUCACAUUUAAUGUCAUGUCAUCUCAUUUCAUUCCCUUCCAUACUCAGUGAAAUGUUAUGUAAUCACAUCAUUUAAUCUCGUAUUCCACUGUGGUGUAAUCUAACCCUAUCUCAUCCCAUCUCCUUCUUCAAUCCAAUGUAAUCCAGUCUCACUGCAUCUCAUUUAAUCCCGUCGUAUAUCUACAAUGAAAUGUAAUCUACUCUUGUUUUUUCCCACCUCUAUUCUAAGCCAAUGUCACCCGGUCUAGUCUCAUGACAUCUCAUAUUAUAAUCUGGAGGAAUCUAUCCCAUGUCAGCCACACUAUGAGCCAUAAACCAGGCCAUGAAGAUGGUUACUCCUCUGAUUAAGUUUAUUGGCAUCGUAAAUGUAUAACUUCUCUGGUAAAUGACUCAAUCUGUUCCGCCCCAUUUCGGAGGAAUUGGUCGGUCAGCGGAGUCACUGACUUGUAUCGAACAUAAUCUCGCUCGGAGCCUGGAGGGAAAAAAAGAGAGGAAGGUUUUGCUGGAAGCGGGACGGUUUUAUGGUUUGCACAAGGAAUAUUCCACGUGUGACUCAGAAAAGUCAAUAUUCCGUGUUGUUUGUCUUUGGAAGAACUGUGGAAGAGAAACAUCCUCGCCAAAGAAAUACGACGCCACAGGAAACUGUUUUUAGUUCUAUUUUUGGCCCCGAAUAGUUUCACUACUGACCAACUCGCCAUUUAUUUACCUGUUGCACUUUAUCUAAAGAUCAAAAUGACAUCAUGCGCCCAGAGACGGUGUGCGUGUGUGUGUGUGUGUGUGUGUAUUUGGUGUGUCUCUGUGUUUCCUCUUAUCGUAGCAACACAAACAGAAAUCAUCAUGGAACAAAAAUGAUACAAUAAUGAGGCAGCUUUUUAUUUUAACCUAAAAUGGUCAAUUAAAAAAAAAAGAAAAUACAACUAUUUCCUGGGAAAACCACCAGACCUUUCAGUUACAAUAAAA